GAUCCUGGCUCAGGAUGAACGCUGGCGGCGUGCCUAAUACAUGCAAGUANAACGCUGAAGGAAGGAGCUUGCUCUUUCCGGAUGAGUUGCGAACGGGUGAGUAACGCGUAGGUAACCUGCCUGGUAGCGGGGGAUAACUAUUGGAAACGAUAGCUAAUACCGCAUAACAGUAGAUGUUGCAUGACAUUUACUUGAAAGGUGCAAUUGCACCACUACCAGAUGGACCUGCGUUG
This 233-nucleotide ribosomal RNA is filed under the name uncultured bacterium. Its description in RNAcentral is "partial 16S ribosomal RNA". It matches the Rfam family "Bacterial small subunit ribosomal RNA", at positions 15 to 238 of the family's 1533-position model. The record is from RNAcentral.